This 1279-nucleotide long non-coding RNA is filed under the name Numida meleagris (helmeted guineafowl). RNAcentral's name for it is "lncRNA (ENSNMEG00000010837.1)". The record is from RNAcentral. Lineage: Eukaryota; Metazoa; Chordata; Aves; Galliformes; Numididae.
CUUUCUUGGUGCGCAUGGAUUUUACUGAACCAUUGCAAAUAAAAUAUAUUUACACCUAUAGUUCUUGAACAGAUCUGCUUCAGACUUUGUUUUUAAGCUGUAUCCUUCCACUCUAAAGUAAUGCAAUUCUUUCUCUUUCUAGCGCCAAGGUCACAGUCGAAAGAUGUCUCCGAUGAAGAUUUGGCUGUGCAAAUGAGCAAGCUGCUUGUGAAGAAAGUUCUACCUGAAACAGAAACUUCUCCUCACAAAGUCAAAAUUGAGGCCAAAUUCUCUCUGUAAAAAACCAACUAUCCAAAGUCUUGGGCCACUGCUUAUCUCACUUCCAGACCAAGCCAUUUUUUGCUAUUGAAUUAUUUACUUAAGAUGAGAGUCAUCUAUAAUCAUCGCAGAAGCAUUAGAAUCCAACAGGACUUUGAAUACAUAUUUAAAAUGUUUACUAGUGUGUGAGCAUAUUCAUUUAAUGCCUUGAGAGACUUAGCUUUUCAUUACAACUUCACAUGAGGUUUACCCUCAUUGGUUUUAACUUUCCAGACUAUAAGAUGCUUGUCUCGGCUUUUUGUUCUGUCUGUUCUUUUGUUUUGUGUUUCAGGACUUGGCAAUGAGAUGUAUGGUUCCCUCAUGCGCGCAUAUUGUGUGUAGUGUUUCAGAUUCUAAAUUAGAAACACAAGAGACCAUGGGCUUUCCAUGAAAGACUAUGAUUUGAUGUCUGCAGUGACAUUGUGUGAUAUUUGUUGUUGUUUGCUUUUUCCCCUGUUUCUUUUCUUAUUUGCUUGGAAUAUAUCUUACUAUGCUUGAAAAGCAUUUAAUAGCACUACACUGGACAUCUUGCUUAUUAAAUCCCUCUCGUGAUUGUCCCACCUCUAUUGCAAUCAUAGCUAAGCUGCACUAAUAUUUCCUCAUAGCUAUUAGAUUUUGAAAAGCUUACUUUAAAUGAUUUCUUCAUAUAUUUUCAGGAUUUUCUGAGUCUUUUUUUUUUGUGGAUUCAUUCUCAGAAUGAAAGACAAUGAAAUAUUUAUUAAGCUUGCUGGGAAAAACUCUGGAGGCAGGAUUUAUUAAUAGUGAAAAUUCAUUAUUGAUGCUGUUCUCAACUGAUGAGCAGUUUUAUGCCUGAUUAUUUUUAUUUUAAAGAAGGCUUAGCUGGUGGCUACUCACUGUGGGAAAAAUCCUUCCCAGUCUCCUGAGCUGGCAGGUGACUGCAUCCUUUGCAUUUAAAAAGCUGAAGUUCAUGACUUGUGCCCAUCAACUCAGUUCAACUUAUAUCAGCUAAGGAAAACAGUUU